This 253-nucleotide ribosomal RNA is filed under the name uncultured bacterium. RNAcentral describes it as "partial 16S ribosomal RNA". It matches the Rfam family "Bacterial small subunit ribosomal RNA", at positions 524 to 776 of the family's 1533-position model. The record is from RNAcentral.
UACGAAGGGGGCUAGCGUUGUUCGGAAUUACUGGGCGUAAAGCGCGUGUAGGCGGGUCUUUAAGUCAGGGGUGAAAUGCCAAGGCUCAACCUUGGAACUGCCUUUGAUACUGGAGACCUUGAGUCCGGGAGAGGUGAGUGGAAUUGCGAGUGUAGAGGUGAAAUUCGUAGAUAUUCGCAAGAACACCAGUGGCGAAGGCGGGUCUCUGGGCAUCUCCUGACGCUGAGGCGCGAAAGCGUGGGGAGCAAACGGG